RNAcentral lists this ribosomal RNA (881 nucleotides) under Escherichia coli. Its description in RNAcentral is "partial 23S ribosomal RNA". It matches the Rfam family "Bacterial large subunit ribosomal RNA", at positions 1917 to 2797 of the family's 2925-position model. Lineage: Bacteria; Pseudomonadati; Pseudomonadota; Gammaproteobacteria; Enterobacterales; Enterobacteriaceae. The record is from RNAcentral.
GCCCCGGUAAACGGCGGCCGUAACUAUAACGGUCCUAAGGUAGCGAAAUUCCUUGUCGGGUAAGUUCCGACCUGCACGAAUGGCGUAAUGAUGGCCAGGCUGUCUCCACCCGAGACUCAGUGAAAUUGAACUCGCUGUGAAGAUGCAGUGUACCCGCGGCAAGACGGAAAGACCCCGUGAACCUUUACUAUAGCUUGACACUGAACAUUGAGCCUUGAUGUGUAGGAUAGGUGGGAGGCUUUGAAGUGUGGACGCCAGUCUGCAUGGAGCCGACCUUGAAAUACCACCCUUUAAUGUUUGAUGUUCUAACGUUGGCCCGUAAUCCGGGUUGCGGACAGUGUCUGGUGGGUAGUUUGACUGGGGCGGUCUCCUCCUAAAGAGUAACGGAGGAGCACGAAGGUUGGCUAAUCCUGGUCGGACAUCAGGAGGUUAGUGCAAUGGCAUAAGCCAGCUUGACUGCGAGCGUGACGGCGCGAGCAGGUGCGAAAGCAGGUCAUAGUGAUCCGGUGGUUCUGAAUGGAAGGGCCAUCGCUCAACGGAUAAAAGGUACUCCGGGGAUAACAGGCUGAUACCGCCCAAGAGUUCAUAUCGACGGCGGUGUUUGGCACCUCGAUGUCGGCUCAUCACAUCCUGGGGCUGAAGUAGGUCCCAAGGGUAUGGCUGUUCGCCAUUUAAAGUGGUACGCGAGCUGGGUUUAGAACGUCGUGAGACAGUUCGGUCCCUAUCUGCCGUGGGCGCUGGAGAACUGAGGGGGGCUGCUCCUAGUACGAGAGGACCGGAGUGGACGCAUCACUGGUGUUCGGGUUGUCAUGCCAAUGGCACUGCCCGGUAGCUAAAUGCGGAAGAGAUAAGUGCUGAAAGCAUCUAAGCACGAAACUUGC